This 87-nucleotide small RNA is filed under the name Flavobacterium frigoris. RNAcentral's name for it is "Flavo-1 RNA". It matches the Rfam family "Flavo-1 RNA". Lineage: Bacteria; Pseudomonadati; Bacteroidota; Flavobacteriia; Flavobacteriales; Flavobacteriaceae. The record is from RNAcentral.
CGCUAGCCCAGAUGGAAACGGCAUCCUAUUGUGUAUCGUCUUUUUUUGGACGAGACACAAUAGAUAUAGUGUACAGCUGGAAAUUGC